GCCCCCGUAGCUCAGUGGAUAGAGCACCUGGCUACGAACCAGAAGGUCGCCCGUUCGAAUCGGGCCGGGGGCU
This 73-nucleotide transfer RNA is filed under the name Micromonospora sp. WMMD812. RNAcentral describes it as "tRNA-Arg". It matches the Rfam family "tRNA". From Rfam's summary of the family: Transfer RNA (tRNA) molecules are approximately 80 nucleotides in length. Their secondary structure includes four short double-helical elements and three loops (D, anti-codon, and T loops). Further hydrogen bonds mediate the characteristic L-shaped molecular structure. tRNAs have two regions of fundamental functional importance: the anti-codon, which is responsible for specific mRNA codon recognition, and the 3' end, to which the tRNAs corresponding amino acid is attached (by aminoacyl-tRNA synthetases). tRNAs cope with the degeneracy of the genetic code in two manners: having more than one tRNA (with a specific anti-codon) for a particular amino acid; and 'wobble' base-pairing, i.e. permitting non-standard base-pairing at the 3rd anti-codon position. The record is from RNAcentral. Lineage: Bacteria; Bacillati; Actinomycetota; Actinomycetes; Micromonosporales; Micromonosporaceae.